GGGCGGGCGGCGGGGCGGCGCGGCUCAGGCGCUUGCGGCGCCGUCGGAAGACGCCGUCGGCGAAGGUGUACUCGCUGCUGGGGUUGAGCAUCCAGUAGUUGUCCUUGCCCCAGGGCCGCGCCGGGUCGCGCAGCACCUUGACGAAGCAGUCGUUGAGCGAGAGGUUGUGGCGCACCGAGUUGCGCCAGCCCGUGUAGGCGCCGCGGAAGAAGGGGAAGCGGCUCAUCAGGUUCCUCCCCUUCCCGGGCAUUUCGAACGAAGCGGCCGCUCGGCGUGACUCCGCAUCGCCGGGCCCGCCUCCCAGGUGUAAAAUGCGGAGCGACUUAUAGGUGGCAGAGCAGAACCUGGUACGCGCCGUGAUUUAUUUUAAUAGCGCUGCAUAGAGCAACAAGUUGUAAUGUGACAGCUCAACAACGUGUUGGAAAAUAACACGCUGCUCCGCAGCUGGGAAUUCCUCAUGAUUUAUGUAGCCCGACAAAGUCGUUUCAGUCCUGGCCCCUCUUUCCUUCUGUCGUAAGCACGCCCUGUAUAGGGGUAAGAUGUGAACAGGUAGGCAAUACUGUGCGCUUUUGCUGCGGGAGAGAAGUAGUCAAAACCUUAACUUCAGUUUUAGGUAUGCUACUGUGCAUAUAGUAGCGUUGCUUGAUCUCGUCCGGAUGUUUGUAAUGUUAUAACUGUUGCUCUCCAAUAAAAUCUUUAUUUAUUUAUUUAUUUUUAAAGUG
This 722-nucleotide long non-coding RNA is filed under the name Anas platyrhynchos platyrhynchos (common mallard). Its description in RNAcentral is "lncRNA (ENSAPLG00000029838.1)". Lineage: Eukaryota; Metazoa; Chordata; Aves; Anseriformes; Anatidae. The record is from RNAcentral.